UGCUUCUUGAUGCUUCAUGUGCUGCAUGCAGGCCAACUUCAACAAGAACACGGUACUAAGCACCGACUUGGACUGCGAUGGUGUCCUCGGCAAUUUCAGUCCCUAUUCGAUUUUGUUAUUCAAAUUAUUCGAAUUGUAAAAUUCAACUCGAACUCAUAACUCGAAAUUUUUUCGAAUAGAAUUUUACAAAAAGACACUGAGAAUUGAUUCCAUUGAAUUAAUAAUUGUAUAGAGCGUCAUCAACUCUGUUUCGAGAUGGCCAAC
Molecule: long non-coding RNA, 264 nt
Filed under: Gossypium barbadense (sea-island cotton)
Lineage: Eukaryota; Viridiplantae; Streptophyta; Magnoliopsida; Malvales; Malvaceae
Description: long non-coding RNA (GBAR_LNC009700)
Source: RNAcentral